GCCGCUUUGGCCAAGUGGUUAAGGCGUCGCACUUGUAUGAGAUGCGAAGAUCACUCGUUCAACUCGGGUAAGCGGCA
Serendipita sp. 411 is the source of this 77-nucleotide non-coding RNA. NCBI's taxonomy places the organism in Eukaryota, Fungi, Basidiomycota, Agaricomycetes, Sebacinales, Serendipitaceae. The record is from the annotation of a GenBank genome assembly.